AAGUCUCCUCCUCAUCCUUAUUGCUUAAUAGACUGAAAUCAGUUGAUGAGACUACAUCAGUGACUUGCUUCUCUGGUUUAUUCUUUCAUGUGGGAGAUCAAUGUGGAUUUUUACGAGUGACCGCAGUUUACUGGUUCUUUUCCACUUUCCUCUCCCCCCCGGUCUACUAUUUCACCCUCCUCUGUCUUGUCUCUGUUGUGGACAAGAACUCAUGAUACGACCUUGAAUUGGUCUGAAUUUAUCUUGACUGUCUCUUGCGGUAAAACUGAAGGUGAGAACUCGGUUAGUAAAAUGUUUUGUGAGCCUUCCAGUUCAAGGAUAAAGCCU
Molecule: long non-coding RNA, 327 nt
Organism: Arabidopsis thaliana (thale cress)
Lineage: Eukaryota; Viridiplantae; Streptophyta; Magnoliopsida; Brassicales; Brassicaceae
Product: other RNA
Exons: 1
Source: RefSeq